RNAcentral lists this ribosomal RNA (484 nucleotides) under uncultured bacterium. RNAcentral's name for it is "partial 16S ribosomal RNA". It matches the Rfam family "Bacterial small subunit ribosomal RNA", at positions 30 to 507 of the family's 1533-position model. The record is from RNAcentral.
AUUGAACGCUGGCGGCAGGCCUAACACAUGCAAGUCGAGCGGAUGAAGGGAGCUUGCUCCUGGAUUCAGCGGCGGACGGGUGAGUAAUGCCUAGGAAUCUGCCUGGUAGUGGGGGAUAACGUCCGGAAACGGGCGCUAAUACCGCAUACGUCCUGAGGGAGAAAGUGGGGGAUCUUCGGACCUCACGCUAUCAGAUGAGCCUAGGUCGGAUUAGCUAGUUGGUGGGGUAAAGGCCUACCAAGGCGACGAUCCGUAACUGGUCUGAGAGGAUGAUCAGUCACACUGGAACUGAGACACGGUCCAGACUCCUACGGGAGGCAGCAGUGGGGAAUAUUGGACAAUGGGCGAAAGCCUGAUCCAGCCAUGCCGCGUGUGUGAAGAAGGUCUUCGGAUUGUAAAGCACUUUAAGUUGGGAGGAAGGGCAGUAAGUUAAUACCUUGCUGUGUUGACGUUACCAGCAGAAUAAGCACCGGCUAACUUCGUG